This 301-nucleotide ribosomal RNA is filed under the name uncultured bacterium. RNAcentral describes it as "partial 16S ribosomal RNA". It matches the Rfam family "Bacterial small subunit ribosomal RNA", at positions 509 to 809 of the family's 1533-position model. The record is from RNAcentral.
CAGUAGCCGCGGGAAUACGGAGGGUGCAAGCGUUAAUCGGAAUUACUGGGCGUAAAGCGCACGCAGGCGGUCUGUCAAGUCAGAUGUGAAAUCCCCGGGCUUAACCUGGGAACUGCAUUUGAAACUGGCAGGCUAGAGUCUUGUAGAGGGUGGUAGAAUUCCAGGUGUAGCGGUGAAAUGCGUAGAGAUCUGGAGGAAUACCGGUGGCGAAGGCGGCCACCUGGACAAAGACUGACGCUGAGGUGCGAAAGCGUGGGGAGCAAACAGGAUUAGAUACCCCGGUAGUCCCUGUCUCUUAUAA